CCUACGGGUGGCAGCAGUGGGGAAUAUUGCACAAUGGGGGAAACCCUGAUGCAGCGACGCCGCGUGAGUGAAGAAGUAUCUCGGUAUGUAAAGCUCUAUCAGCCGGGAAGAAAAUGCCGGUACCUGACUAAGAAGCCCCGGCUAACUACGUGCCAGCAGCCGCGGUAAUACGUAGGGGGCAAGCGUUAUCCGGAUUUACUGGGGGUAAAGGGAGCGUAGACGGUAGAACAAGUCUGCGGUGAAACUCCGGGGGCUAACCCCGGAACUGCUGUGGAAACUGUGUGGCUGGAGUGCAGGAGGGGUAAGCGGAAUGCGUGGUGUAGCGGUGAAAUGCGUAGAUAUUAGGAGGAACACCGGUGGCGAAGGCGGCUUACUGGACUGUAACUGACGUUGAGGCUCGAAAGCGUGGGGAGCGAACAGGAUUAGAUACCCCUGUAGUC
RNAcentral lists this ribosomal RNA (440 nucleotides) under uncultured bacterium. Its description in RNAcentral is "partial 16S ribosomal RNA". It matches the Rfam family "Bacterial small subunit ribosomal RNA", at positions 338 to 795 of the family's 1533-position model. The record is from RNAcentral.